Molecule: signal recognition particle RNA, 293 nt
Filed under: Microcebus murinus (gray mouse lemur)
Lineage: Eukaryota; Metazoa; Chordata; Mammalia; Primates; Cheirogaleidae
Description: Metazoan signal recognition particle RNA (ENSMICG00000036168.2)
Rfam family: Metazoan signal recognition particle RNA
About the family: The signal recognition particle (SRP) is a universally conserved ribonucleoprotein.
Source: RNAcentral
GCCAGGUGCAGUGGCUGGCACUUGUAGUCCCAGCUCUCAAAAGGUUGAGGUGGGAGGAGUGCUUGAGCACAGGAUUCUGUGCUGUAAUGUGCUAUGCUGAUUGGUGUCCGUGGUAAUUUUGACAUUAAUAUGAUGACCUACUGGGAGUGAGGGACCACCAAGUUGCCUAAAAAAGGGUGACUCGGCAGGUUGGAAAUGGAGCAGGUAAAAAAUCCUGUGCUGAUUGAUAGUGGGAUUGAGCCUGUAAAUAGCCACUGUACUCCAGCCUGGCAACAUAGCAAGACUCUGUCUCU